This 505-nucleotide ribosomal RNA is filed under the name Cervidellus vexilliger. RNAcentral's name for it is "SSU rRNA". It matches the Rfam family "Eukaryotic small subunit ribosomal RNA", at positions 88 to 590 of the family's 1831-position model. Lineage: Eukaryota; Metazoa; Nematoda; Chromadorea; Rhabditida; Cephalobidae. The record is from RNAcentral.
CGCGAAUGGCUCAUUACAACAGCUAUAAUUCACUUGAUCUUGACACAAUCCUACUUGGAUAACUGUGGUAAUUCUAGAGCUAAUACAUGCAUUAAAGCUCUGACCUCACGGGAAGAGUGCAUUUAUUAGAACAAAACCAAGCGGCUUCGGCUGUUUUCGGUUGACUCAUAGUAACUGAGCUGAUCGCAUGGUCUUGCACCGGCGACGUGUCUUUCAAGUAUCUGCCGUAUCAACUCUCGAUGGUAGUGUAUCUGACUACCAUGGUGAUCACGCGUAACGGAGAAUAAGGGUUCGACUCCGGAGAGUUCGCCUGAGAAAUCGCGAACACAUCUAAGGAAGGCAGCAGGCGCGAAAAUUACCCACUCUCAGCACGAGGAGGUAGUGACGAAAAAUAACGAGACCGUUCUCUUAUGAGGCCGGUCAUCGGAAUGGGUACAAUUUAAACCCUUUAACGAGUAUCUAUGAGAGGGCAAGUCUGGUGCCAGCAGCCGCGGUAAUUCCAGCU